AUUGAACGCUGGCGGCAGGCCUAACACAUGCAAGUCGAGCGGAGCGCCUGUCGGGUGAGUAUUGCCUAGGAAUCUGCCUCUUACUGGUGGCUAACGUCCGCUAACGGGCGCUAUUACCGCAUCCUCUCAGAUGAGCCUAGGUCGGAUUAGCUAGUUGGUGGGGUAAAGGCCUACCAAGGCGACGAUCCGUAACUGGUCUGAGAGGAUGAUCAGUCACACUGGAACUGAGACACGGUCCAGACUCCUACGGGAGGCAGCAGUGGGGAAUAUUGGACAAUGGGCGAAAGCGUGAUCCAGCCAUGCCGCGUGUAUGAAGAAGGCCUUCGGGUUGUAAAGUACUUUCAGCGAGGAGGCGUGACUCGAAGAAGAAGCACCGGCUAACUCCGUGCCAGCAGCCGCGGUAAUAG
This 407-nucleotide ribosomal RNA is filed under the name uncultured bacterium. RNAcentral's name for it is "partial 16S ribosomal RNA". It matches the Rfam family "Bacterial small subunit ribosomal RNA", at positions 30 to 526 of the family's 1533-position model. The record is from RNAcentral.